Long non-coding RNA from Syngnathus typhle (broad-nosed pipefish), 892 nucleotides. RefSeq lists it as uncharacterized. Lineage: Eukaryota; Metazoa; Chordata; Actinopteri; Syngnathiformes; Syngnathidae. The record is from RefSeq and is a predicted model, not a curated record. The transcript has 2 exons.
GUGACCUAUGGACUGCCCCGGUGCGCCCAAAGCCCAAAUCCGUCUCACAAUAGCUUCCUGUUCCACUUGGAUCACCCUUGUUUUCAAACAUCAGCAAACGCGGCAAGCCACUGGGGGCGUCGCUGACACAAGAGAAGCGGGGGUGCCCGGAAAAGUGGGAGGGCAGAAGUGAAAAUGUUAACUAUGGUCACUGAAACCCAGCACCGUGGACACAGCAGAGGCCGUCAUAUAAGACACGGUGCACACCAAGGAACCUUCCAGCACCACAAGAGGAUUCGACCAACUCAUCAAGAGGACUUUUUUCCUCCCCGUUUUUUUUCCCCCAUCAGCAUACAAAUGGGAGGUACUCGCCCGGAAGAGAGCGAGGGGGGUCACUGGGAUGGUCGAGCGCCGUCUGGACCGCGAGAAUUAGAAGGAGGGGGCAUCCCGUUCAGCCUUACAUGGCAACCAGAGGAAAGCCUCGAGCGUUGAAGUGAAUUUACACUCAAAGUCACCUUACGGUGCAGACUACCAUACUUGGGAGGGAAAGCGGCGAAGGAAAGCGUUCCGCUCGUAACUUCUCCGGCUUGGCCCGAAAGAAAGCAGUUACAAUCUGUGCGUCGGGACAAGACACGGACGGCGAGGCUGAAUGACAAAGUUGCGCUUGUGCCCAUUUCAAUAGAAUAUCACGUUCAAGGUCUGAAGAGAGAGAUAUCCCACAAUGCUUUGCUAAAGCUGGUAAAAUGGAACCAAAUCACCUCUUGAAUGGAUUUGGUCCCCUUCAACCAGCUGUAGCUAUGCUUUGAUGACUGCAGGGAUUCGACUGAGGUGUUGCUCUUCAAACGACCGCCUACGAUUGCCGUCUUCCAUGUCUCGCUUGAAAAGAACAAUAAAGUUACUGCAUCAAACUUUC